Molecule: transfer RNA, 61 nt
Filed under: Arocatus melanocephalus
Lineage: Eukaryota; Metazoa; Arthropoda; Insecta; Hemiptera; Lygaeidae
Description: tRNA-Cys
Source: RNAcentral
AGUUCUAUAGUCAAUAUAUGAUAUUAGAUUGCAAGUCUGAAGUAGUAAAAUACUAGAACUU